AACUGAGGUGAUCAGAGUGAAAUAGAACCUGAAACCAUUUGCUUACAAUCAUUCAGAGCCCUAUGUAGCAAUACAGGGUGAUGGACUGCCUUUUGCAUAAUGAGCCUGCGAGUUGUGGUGUCUGGCAAGGUUAAGCAAACGCGAAGCCGUAGCGAAAGCGAGUCUGAAUAGGGCGCUUAGUCAGAUGCUGCAGACCCGAAACGAAGUGAUCUAUCCAUGAGCAAGUUGAAGCUAGUGUAAGAACUAGUGGAGGACUGAACCCAUAGGCGUUGAAAAGCCCCGGGAUGACUUGUGGAUAGGGGUGAAAGGCCAAUCAAACUUCGUGAUAGCUGGUUCUCUCCGAAAUAUAUUUAGGUAUAGCGUUGUGUCGUAAUAUAAGGGGGUAGAGCACUGAAUGGGCUAGGGCAUACACCAAUGUACCAAACCCUAUCAAACUCCGAAUACCUUAUAUGUAAUCACAGCAGUCAGGCGGCGAGUGAUAAAAUCCGUCGUCAAGAGGGAAACAACCCAGACUACCAGCUAAGGUCCCUAAAUCUUACUUAAGUGGAAAACGAUGUGAAGUUACUUAAACAACCAGGAGGUUGGCUUA
RNAcentral lists this ribosomal RNA (589 nucleotides) under Salmonella enterica subsp. enterica serovar Typhimurium. RNAcentral describes it as "partial 23S ribosomal RNA". It matches the Rfam family "Bacterial large subunit ribosomal RNA", at positions 522 to 1108 of the family's 2925-position model. The record is from RNAcentral. Lineage: Bacteria; Pseudomonadati; Pseudomonadota; Gammaproteobacteria; Enterobacterales; Enterobacteriaceae.